Molecule: transfer RNA, 40 nt
Filed under: Acaena laevigata
Lineage: Eukaryota; Viridiplantae; Streptophyta; Magnoliopsida; Rosales; Rosaceae
Also listed under: 2 other names
Description: partial transfer RNA-Phe (GAA)
Source: RNAcentral
GUCGGGAUAGCUCAGCUGGUAGAGCANAGGACUGAAAAUC